CCAAUCGAACCCGGAGAUAGCUGGUUCUCCUCGAAAUAGCUUUAGGGCUAGCCUCGUUUUAGUCUUGUGGAGGUAGAGCACUGAAUUUCCGCGGGGGCGUCAAAGCUUACCAAAGAAUAUCAAACUCCGAAUGCCAUUAAGAUGAUGAACGGGAGUCAGACUGUACGAGAUAAGUUGGACAGUCAAAAGGGAAAGAGCCCAGACCACCAGCUAAGGUCCCAAAGUGUGUGUUAAGUGGAAAAGGAUGUGGGGAUUCAAAGACAACUAGGAUGUUGGCUCAGAAGCAGCCAUUCAUUCAAAGAGUGCGUAACAGCUCACUAGUCGAGAGUCCCUGCGCCGAAAAUGUCCGGGGCUGAAACACAACACCGAAGCUGUGGAAUCAUACCUAGUAUGAUUGGUAGAGGAGCAUUCUUAAGACCGACGAAGCUGUACCGAUAAGGAGCAGUGGAGGGAUAAGAAGAGAGAAUGCCGGAAUGAGUAGCGAGAGGAAGGUGAGAAUCCUUCCGGCCGAAUAUCCAAGGAUUCCAGGGUAAAGCUGAUCUGCCCUGGGUAAGUCGGGACCUAAGGAGAGGCCGAGAGGCGUAUCCGAUGGACAACAGGUUUAGAUUCCUGUACCACAUAUGGUCAGAACUGUGGGGACGCAGAAGGAAAGCAUGAGCCAGGAAUGGAAAGACUGGUACAAGCAGAGGGGAUGGUGUGCUGGCAAAUCCGCACACGAAAGUCCUUGCUGUGAUGUGGAGCGAACCAAAGUAGCGAAGCAUGCGGACCGGCUGCCGAGAAAAGCCGCUAUUGUGCCAUAUGUGCCCGUACCGUAAACCGACACAGGUGGAUGAGGAGAGAAUCCUAAGGCCGACGGAAGAAGCAUUGUUAAGGAACUCGGCAAAAUGACCCCGUAACUUCGGGAGAAGGGGUGCCCCAGAGAUGGAGCCGCAGAGAACUGGCCCAAGCAACUGUUUAGCAAAAACACAGGUCUAUGCAAAACCGAAAGGUGAGGUAUAUGGGCUGACGCCUGCCCGGUGCUGGAAGGUUAAGAGGAGAGGUUAGCGCAAGCGAAGCUUUGAAUUUAAGCCCCAGUAAACGGCGGCCGUAACUAUAACGGUCCUAAGGUAGCGAAAUUCCUUGUCGGGUAAGUUCCGACCCGCACGAAAGGCGUAAUGAUUUGGGCACUGUCUCAACAAUGCACCCGGUGAAAUUGAAAUACCAGUGAAGAUGCUGGUUACCUGCGCCAGGACGGAAAGACCCCAUGGAGCUUUACUCUAGCUUGAUACUGGGGUUCGGUAUUGCAUGUACAGGAUAGGUGGGAGACUGAGAAGAUGUGUCGCCAGAUGCAUCAGAGUCGAUGUUGGGAUACCACCCCUGCAGUACUGGGCUUCUAACCUGCAGCCGUGACCCGGCUGGGGGACAAUGUCUGGUGGGGAGUUUGACUGGGGCGGUCGCCUCCGAAAGAGUAUCGGAGGCGCUCAAAGGUUCCCUCAGAAUGGUUGGAAACCAUUCGAAGAGUGCAAAGGCAGAAGGGAGCUUGACUGCGACACCGACGGGUGGAGCAGGUACGAAAGUAGGACUUAGUGAUCCGGUGGUAUAAAGUGGGAUUGCCAUCGCUCAACGGAUAAAAGCUACCCUGGGGAUAACAGGCUUAUCACUCCCAAGAGUUCACAUCGACGGAGUGGUUUGGCACCUCGAUGUCGGCUCAUCGCAUCCUGGGGCUGUAGUAGGUCCCAAGGGUUGGGCUGUUCGCCCAUUAAAGCGGUACGCGAGCUGGGUUCAGAACGUCGUGAGACAGUUCGGUCCCUAUCCGGCGUGGGCGUAGGAUAUUUGAGAGGAGCUGUCCUUAGUACGAGAGGACCGGGAUGGACUGGCCGCUGGUGUAUCUGUUGUCUUACCAAAGGCAUAGCAGAGUAGCCAAGUCGGGAAGGGAUAAACGCUGAAGGCAUCUAAGCGUGAAGCCCCCCUCAAGAUGAGAUAUCCCAUAACGUAAGUUAGUAAGACCCCUUGAAGACGACGAGGUAGAUAGGCAGAAGGUGGAAGUGUGGUGACAUAUGGAGCUGAUCUGUACUAAUAGGUCGAGGGCUUAACCAA
This 2076-nucleotide ribosomal RNA is filed under the name human gut metagenome. RNAcentral's name for it is "bacterial LSU rRNA". It matches the Rfam family "Bacterial large subunit ribosomal RNA", at positions 829 to 2925 of the family's 2925-position model. The record is from RNAcentral.